CACGUAGUUAGCCGUGGCUUUCUAACGAGGUACCGUCAAAGUGAGAGUAGUUAGUUCCCACUUUUUCUUCCCUCGCAACAGAGUUUUACGAUCCGAAAACCUUCAUCACUCACGCGGCGUUGCUCUAUCAGACUUUCGCCCAUUGUAGAAGAUUCCCUACUGCUGCCUCCCGUAGGAGUCUGGGCCGUGUCUCAGUCCCAGUGUGGCCGAUCACCCUCUCAGGUCGGCUACGCAUCGUCGCCUUGGUGAGCUUUUAUCUCACCAACUAGCUAAUGCGCCGCGGGUCCAUCCUGUAGUGACAGCCGAAACCGUCUUUUAUCAAGUGACCAUGUGGUCACUCGGUUUAUCCGGUAUUAGCUCCGAUUUCUCGAAGUUAUUCCGAUCUACAGGGCAGGUUACCCACGUGUUACUCACCCAUCCCGCCGCUCACUUCUGGAGUGCAAGCACUCCGUCUGUUCGCUCGACUUGCAUGUAUUAGGCCACGCCCGCCAGCGUUCACU
RNAcentral lists this ribosomal RNA (500 nucleotides) under uncultured Caryophanales bacterium. Its description in RNAcentral is "uncultured Bacillales bacterium partial 16S ribosomal RNA". Lineage: Bacteria; Bacillati; Bacillota; Bacilli; Caryophanales. The record is from RNAcentral.